AGGGUGUAAACGCUGCAGACUUGGUGUUGGAGGCCCUUUGGGGGCAUUCAGUGCCGGAGAGAGGUUGUUAAGUCUGCUACUUGGGGAGUACGUCCGCAAGGAUGAAACUUAAAGGAAUUGGCGGGGGAGCACCACAACGGGUGGAGCCUGCGGUUUAAUUGGACUCAACGCCGGGAAGCUCACCGGAUAGGACAGCAGAAUGAUUGCCGGGCUGAAGACCCUGCAUGACUAGCUGAGAGGAGGUGCAUGGCGUAGACGUCU
RNAcentral lists this ribosomal RNA (261 nucleotides) under uncultured archaeon. RNAcentral describes it as "partial 16S ribosomal RNA". It matches the Rfam family "Archaeal small subunit ribosomal RNA", at positions 748 to 1009 of the family's 1478-position model. The record is from RNAcentral.